UAGGGAAUCUUCGGCAAUGGACGAAAGUCUGACCGAGCAACGCCGCGUGAGUGAAGAAGGUUUUCGGAUCGUAAAACUCUGUUGUUUGAGAAGAACAAGGACGUUAGUAACUGAACGUCCCCUGACGGUAUCUAACCAGAAAGCCACGGCUAACUACGUGCCAGCAGCCGCGGUAAUACGUAGGUGGCAAGCGUUGUCCGGAUUUAUUGGGCGUAAAGCGAGCGCAGGCGGUUUCUUAAGUCUGAUGUGAAAGCCCCCGGCUCAACCGGGGAGGGUCAUUUGAAACUGGGAGACUUGAGUGCAGAAGAGGAGAGUGGAAUUCCAUGUGUAGCGGUGAAAUGCGUAGAUAUAUGGAGGAACACCAGUGGCGAAGGCGGCUCUCUGGUCUGUAACUGACGCUGAGGUUCGAAAGCGUGGGGAGCAAACAGG
This 429-nucleotide ribosomal RNA is filed under the name Gemmatimonadota bacterium. RNAcentral describes it as "Gemmatimonadetes bacterium partial 16S ribosomal RNA". It matches the Rfam family "Bacterial small subunit ribosomal RNA", at positions 355 to 776 of the family's 1533-position model. The record is from RNAcentral. Lineage: Bacteria; Pseudomonadati; Gemmatimonadota.